Molecule: long non-coding RNA, 460 nt
Filed under: Homo sapiens (human)
Lineage: Eukaryota; Metazoa; Chordata; Mammalia; Primates; Hominidae
Description: non-protein coding lnc-LAMP3-3:1
Source: RNAcentral
GUGGCCCCACAUCCUGAGUCUUCACCAAAAUGGGUGUCAUCAAAAACCAGCCAGCCCUCCACCUCGGUCCCUCUAGCUCGUCCUCUGAGAACGUCUGAGGAACCUUAUACGGAGACAGAGUUGAACUCCCGGGGAAAGGAAGAUGAUGAGACUAAAUUUGAAGUCAAGAGUGAAGAAAUCUUUGAAAGCCAUCAUGAAAGGGGGAACCCUGAGCUGGAGCAGCAGGCCAGGCUCGGAGACCUUUCCCCCCGCAGGUAAGACUGCACAUCCGUGGGUGCAGGGGGCGAGGGGGUGCGGGGCAUGGGUGGCGAGGAUCCUCUCUUUUACACCUCAGCACCUGUCUUUCCCAGAUAAGAAUCAUAAUAUUUAUCCUCUAUACUAACCUUCAUUUAUGUACCUGAGAACAAAAUUUGUGGAUCCCACAAAAGCAACAAGCAAAAGAGCUUAAAGUGACAUCUUA